UACGUAGGGUGCAAGCGUUGUCCGGAAUUACUGGGCGUAAAGAGUUCGUAGGCGGCCAACUAAGUCAGACGUGAAAUCCCUCGGCUUAACCGGGGAACUGCGUCUGAUACUGGAAGGCUUGAGUAUGGGAGAGGGAUGUAGAAUUCCAGGUGUAGCGGUGAAAUGCGUAGAUAUCUGGAGGAAUACCGGUGGCGAAGGCGGCAUCCUGGACCAUUACUGACGCUGAGGCGCGAAAGCUAGGGGAGCAAACGGG
This 253-nucleotide ribosomal RNA is filed under the name uncultured bacterium. RNAcentral's name for it is "partial 16S ribosomal RNA". It matches the Rfam family "Bacterial small subunit ribosomal RNA", at positions 524 to 776 of the family's 1533-position model. The record is from RNAcentral.